UAAAAUCCAAAAAAAAAAAGGACCUAUACUACCUCCUCUGCCGACGCCUCGCACCCACCCUCGCAGACCCCCUCUGCCUCUCUCUCCCUCCUUUUCCUCCCUUCUCUUUCUCUCUCUCCCUCAUCUUCCUUGAUUUUUACAGGCUGAUCUACCAUAGCUUGGUGAAAUAAACACUUGGGUCCUUUUUUGUUAGAAAAUCAAUGAAACCCACAACCAAGAAAGAUCAUUUGCUUCAGUUUUUAAAAUAGAAGCUAAUCAUUUUUGUUGAAUUUCUGCACUCGUUUUUACCCAGAACCUGUCUCUGCAGCAUUGGAACCAAGAUCGGGCUUGGCAUAGUUGCAGUACACUUGGGUCCUUUUUUGUUUGACCAAAACCUGCAAAUCAUUUCCAUUUUAAAAGCUCAAGAAUUGGAGAAAGAUGUACUUGGUUCAUCAGCUAAUUCAUUCCCACUAGAGAAAAAACUAGGCAUUUUUGACAAAAUCUUUACUGCAUACCAUGAGGCAAGGAGCUGCAUUCGCAAUGACUUGGUAUGGAAGUUGCCCAAUAUUAGAACAUUUCUGUUUUGGAGAGAGGAGGGAGGAAGAGAAGGGUGAGAGAGGCAAAGAGUGGGUCUGCGAGGGUUGGAGGCACUGGCAGAGGAAGAACGCAGAUGGUACAGGUUUUUUUUUUUUCUUUGGAUUUUAAGUUUAAAAAUAGUUAUAAUAUAAUAUAUUUUAUUUAAAGCCACGUGGAUGUAUACUAUUGGAUGUGUGGGCUCCAUACACGUGCCACGUCAGCUACUUAACAGAAAAUUUGAUGGAAGCUAAUGGCAGGGACCAUUUUGAUGUGUGAAGGGUAACCUUAGGGAUCAUUAGUGUCAUAAAAAAAUGUUAGGGACGAAAUGC
Prunus avium (sweet cherry) is the source of this 884-nucleotide non-coding RNA. NCBI's taxonomy places the organism in Eukaryota, Viridiplantae, Streptophyta, Magnoliopsida, Rosales, Rosaceae. The record is from RefSeq and is a predicted model, not a curated record.